AAAUCGGUACAUCCAGUAGAAAGUUAUGCGGUAUAAUACAACGUAGGUCGACCAAAAAAGCGUCAAGUAAAAACGCAUUAUUAGAUAUAACUCGAAAAGUAGUUGUUAGAUCUCAAAUAAAUUUAAAUGGGACCAAUUGGCACACACCACCUUUCGAUUAAAAAAAAAUUGUCGAAAUCGGUCCACACGGUCAAAAGUUCUGAUGUAACAUACAGAAAA
RNAcentral lists this unclassified non-coding RNA (219 nucleotides) under Melitaea cinxia (Glanville fritillary). RNAcentral describes it as "misc RNA ENSMCXG00005018667.1". The record is from RNAcentral. Lineage: Eukaryota; Metazoa; Arthropoda; Insecta; Lepidoptera; Nymphalidae.